RNAcentral lists this ribosomal RNA (253 nucleotides) under uncultured bacterium. RNAcentral describes it as "partial 16S ribosomal RNA". It matches the Rfam family "Bacterial small subunit ribosomal RNA", at positions 524 to 776 of the family's 1533-position model. The record is from RNAcentral.
UACGAAGGGGGCUAGCGUUGCUCGGAAUCACUGGGCGUAAAGGGUGCGUAGGCGGGUCUUUAAGUCAGGGGUGAAAUCCUGGAGCUCAACUCCAGAACUGCCUUUGAUACUGAAGAUCUUGAGUUCGGGAGAGGUGAAUGGAACUGCGAGUGUAGAGGUGAAAUUCGUAGAUAUUCGCAAGAACACCAGUGGCGAAGGCGGCUCACUGGCCCGAUACUGACGCUGAUGCACGAAAGCGUGGGGAGCAAACAGG